CACACACACACACACACACACCAACCAGCCGCUCAGGUGCCCUCCUCCUCAAGGGCACCAUUUAUAUCCUCCCAUGAUCCUUCACUUCACCCAAGCCAACCAUGAAGUAGGUCAUCCAAUUAAAACAAAACAGAAAAACUCCCUCCCAAUUGGCUAGCUGUGUUAAACGAGCUGAAUGCAUUCAUUAAGUUAUGGGUCGUUAAGAGUGUAAUUGGAAUGUGUGACUCCUCCCAUUGGUGAGGUGACCCUAGGGCCAUAGCUAUAUUGUUACAUCAGGUUUUAAUCAGUCCCUCCUGUUCUCCAUGUGUCUAUAUCUAGACUAGGUGCACUACUUUAGACCAGGGCCCAUAAGGCAGGUCUAUAUGUGUCUAUAGUUGGACUAGGUGCACUACUUUAGACCAGGGCCCAUAAGGCAGGUCUAUAUGUGUCUAUAGUUGGACUAGGUGCACUACUUUAGACCAGGGCCCAUAAGGCAGGUCUAUAUGUGUCUAUAGUUGGAUUAGAUGCACUACUUUAGACCAGGGCCCAUAAGGCAGGUCUAUAUGUGUCUAUAGUUGGAUUAGAUGCACUACUUUAGACCAGGGCCCAUAAGACAGGUCUAUAUGUGUCUAUAGUUGGAUUAGGUGCACUACUUUAGACCAGGGCCCAUAAGGCAGGUCUAUAUGUGUCUAUAGUUGGAUUAGGUGCACUACUUUAGACCAGGGCCCAUAAGGCAGGUCUAUAUGUGUCUAUAGUUGGAUUAGGUGCACUACUUUAGACCAGGGCCCAUAAGGCAGGUCUAUAUGUGUCUAUAGUUGGAUUAGGUGCACUACUUUAGACCAGGGCCCAUAAGGCAGGUCUAUAUGUGUCUAUAGUUGGACUAGGUGCACUACUUUAGACCAGGGCCCAUAAGGCAGGUCUAUAUGUGUCUAUAGUUGGAUUAGGUGCACUACUUUAGACCAGGGCCCAUAA
This is a long non-coding RNA of Oncorhynchus keta (chum salmon), 951 nucleotides long. RefSeq lists it as uncharacterized. The record is from RefSeq and is a predicted model, not a curated record. NCBI's taxonomy places the organism in Eukaryota, Metazoa, Chordata, Actinopteri, Salmoniformes, Salmonidae. The transcript has 3 exons.